AUGCAUCCUGGCGCAGGUGGUGGUGCGCCGGGGCACGUGCGCGCGGCGGCCAGGGCCACCCUCAUCCUCGGCUUGGCGGUGGCCGCCAUGGGCCUCUUCGCCGCCACCCUCAACCCCGGCGACUUCCACGCCCAGCUGUCGCAGGUCGAGCACGCGGCGGCGCCGGCCGCGUACGGCGGGCAGCCCCAGCAGCGCUGCGCGGCCACGGAGGCGGAGGCGCUGGACCUGCGCGCCACGGCGCUCGUGCUGGUGCUCACGGGGGCGGCGCAGGCGAUGCUGGCCGCGGCAGCCGGCGUGGCCUUGGCGGCGGGGUCCCCGUCCCUCCAAUGUCUAGGCCGGUUCCUCGCCCUCAUCGCGCACUGCUUCGUCCCCACGAACGCCUGGUUCCUCUACUCUGUCCUCCAGGGAGCGGCGGCCGUUGCCGUCGGGCACUGCGCCAGCGGGUACAGCCUCAACUUCACCACCGGCUGCGUCCUCGCCGCCGUGUCAUACGGCGUGCUGUUCGUCGUGAGCCUCUUAGCCACCGUCUGCGGAGGGAUCAAGCUACGCAUGGCUGCCACUGAUCCCCUCUAA
This 573-nucleotide ribosomal RNA is filed under the name Triticum aestivum (bread wheat). Its description in RNAcentral is "partial small subunit ribosomal RNA". The record is from RNAcentral. Lineage: Eukaryota; Viridiplantae; Streptophyta; Magnoliopsida; Poales; Poaceae.